This 484-nucleotide ribosomal RNA is filed under the name uncultured bacterium. Its description in RNAcentral is "partial 16S ribosomal RNA". It matches the Rfam family "Bacterial small subunit ribosomal RNA", at positions 30 to 507 of the family's 1533-position model. The record is from RNAcentral.
AUUGAACGCUGGCGGCAGGCCUAACACAUGCAAGUCGAGCGGAUGAAGGGAGCUUGCUCCUGGAUUCAGCGGCGGACGGGUGAGUAAUGCCUAGGAAUCUGCCUGGUAGUGGGGGAUAACGUCCGGAAACGGGCGCUAAUACCGCAUACGUCCUGCGGGAGAAAGUGGGGGAUCUUCGGACCUCACGCUAUCAGAUGAGCCUAGGUCGGAUUAGCUAGUUGGUGGGGUAAAGGCCUACCAAGGCGACGAUCCGUAACUGGUCUGAGAGGAUGAUCAGUCACACUAGAACUGAGACACGGUCCAGACUCCUACGGGAGGCAGCAGUGGGGAAUAUUGGACAAUGGGCGAAAGCCUGAUCCAGCCAUGCCGCGUGUGUGAAGAAGGUCUUCGGAUUGUAAAGCACUUUAAGUUGGGAGGAAGGGCAGUAAGUUAAUACCUUGCUGUUUUGACGUUACCAACAGAAUAAGCACCGGCUAACUUCGUG